RNAcentral lists this ribosomal RNA (429 nucleotides) under Acidobacteriota bacterium. RNAcentral's name for it is "Acidobacteria bacterium partial 16S ribosomal RNA". It matches the Rfam family "Bacterial small subunit ribosomal RNA", at positions 355 to 776 of the family's 1533-position model. Lineage: Bacteria; Pseudomonadati; Acidobacteriota. The record is from RNAcentral.
UGGGGAAUUUUGGACAAUGGGGGAAACCCUGAUCCAGCCAUCCCGCGUGUGCGAUGAAGGCCUUCGGGUUGUAAAGCACUUUUGUCAGGAAAGAAACGUCAUUGGUUAAUACCCCGUGAAACUGACGGUACCUGCAGAAUAAGCACCGGCUAACUACGUGCCAGCAGCCGCGGUAAUACGUAGGGUGCAAGCGUUAAUCGGAAUUACUGGGCGUAAAGCGUGCGCAGGCGGUUCGGAAAGAAAGAUGUGAAAUCCCAGGGCUCAACUUUGGAACUGCAUUUUUAACUACCGGGCUAGAGUGUGUCAGAGGGAGGUGGAAUUCCGCGUGUAGCAGUGAAAUGCGUAGAUAUGCGGAGGAACACCGAUGGCGAAGGCAGCCUCCUGGGAUAACACUGACGAUCAUGCACGAAAGCGUGGGGAGCAAACAGG